CGAACGGGUGAGUAACGCGUGAGGAACCUGCCUCAAAGAGGGGGACAACAGUUGGAAACGACUGCUAAUACCGCAUAAGCCCACGGCUCGGCAUCGAGCAGAGGGAAAAGGAGUGAUCCGCUUUGAGAUGGCCUCGCGUCCGAUUAGCUAGUUGGUGAGGUAACGGCCCACCAAGGCGACGAUCGGUAGCCGGACUGAGAGGUUGAACGGCCACAUUGGAACUGAGACACGGUCCAA
Molecule: ribosomal RNA, 237 nt
Filed under: uncultured bacterium
Lineage: Bacteria
Description: partial 16S ribosomal RNA
Rfam family: Bacterial small subunit ribosomal RNA
Source: RNAcentral